GAUGAACGCUGGCGGCGUGCCUAAUACAUGCAAGUAGAACGCUGAAGGAGGAGCUUGCUCUUCUGGAUGAGUUGCGCACGGGUGAGUAACGCGUAGGUAACCUGCCUGGUAGCGGGGGAUAACUCUUGGAAACGAUAGCUAAUACCGCAUGACAACAGUUAUUGCAUGAUAACUGUUUAAAAGGGGCAACUGCUCCACUACCAGAUGGACCUGCGUUGUAUUAGCUAGUUGGUGAGGUAACGGCUCACCAAGGCGACGAUACAUAGCCGGCCUGAGAGGGUGAUCGGCCACACCGGGAAUGAGACACGGCCCAGACUCCUACGGGAGGGAGCAGUAGGGAAUCUUCGGCAAUUGACGGAAGGCUGACCGAGCAACGCCGCGUGAGUGAAGAAGGGUUUCGGAUCGUAAAGCUCUGUUGUAAGGGAAGAAAGAGUGUGAGAGUGGAAAGUUCACACUGUGACGGUAUCUAACCAGAAAGAGACGGCUAACUACGUG
This 495-nucleotide ribosomal RNA is filed under the name uncultured bacterium. Its description in RNAcentral is "partial 16S ribosomal RNA". It matches the Rfam family "Bacterial small subunit ribosomal RNA", at positions 28 to 507 of the family's 1533-position model. The record is from RNAcentral.